GAGGCAUAGCUCAGCUGGUUAGAGCGCACGGUUCACAUCCGUGAGGUCGCGGGUUCGAGUCCCCCUGUCUCC
This 72-nucleotide transfer RNA is filed under the name bovine gut metagenome. It matches the Rfam family "tRNA". Rfam says of the family: Transfer RNA (tRNA) molecules are approximately 80 nucleotides in length. Their secondary structure includes four short double-helical elements and three loops (D, anti-codon, and T loops). The record is from RNAcentral.